UACGAAGGGGGCUAGCGUUGCUCGGAAUCACUGGGCGUAAAGGGUGCGUAGGCGGGGCUUUAAGUCAGGGGUGAAAUCCUGGAGCUCAACUCCAGAACCGCCUUUGAUACUGAGGAUCUUGAGUUCGGGAGAGGUGAGUGGAACUGCGAGUGUAGAGGUGAAAUUCGUAGAUAUUCGCAAGAACACCAGUGGCGAAGGCGGCUCACUGGCCCGAUACUGACGCUGAGGCACGAAAGCGUGGGGAGCAAACAGG
RNAcentral lists this ribosomal RNA (253 nucleotides) under uncultured bacterium. RNAcentral's name for it is "partial 16S ribosomal RNA". It matches the Rfam family "Bacterial small subunit ribosomal RNA", at positions 524 to 776 of the family's 1533-position model. The record is from RNAcentral.